This 357-nucleotide RNase P RNA is filed under the name Actinomycetota bacterium. RNAcentral describes it as "RNase P RNA component class A". It matches the Rfam family "Bacterial RNase P class A". Rfam says of the family: Ribonuclease P (RNase P) is a ubiquitous endoribonuclease, found in archaea, bacteria and eukarya as well as chloroplasts and mitochondria. Its best characterised activity is the generation of mature 5'-ends of tRNAs by cleaving the 5'-leader elements of precursor-tRNAs. The record is from RNAcentral. Lineage: Bacteria; Bacillati; Actinomycetota.
UGAGCCGGCCGGGUGGCCGCGGCCCAGCUGCUUCGGCGGCCGGGCUGAGGAAGGUCGGGGCUCCGCAGGGCAGGGUGCUGGCUAGCGGCCAGUCGGGGUGACCCGCAGGAAAGUGCCACAGAGAACAAACCGCCGAUGGCGGCUCGGGAGACCGGGCGGCACAGGCAAGGGUGAAACGGUGCGGCAAGAGCGCACCAGCGCCCGGGGUGACCCGGGCGGCUCGGCAAACCCCACCCGGAGCAAGGCCAAGCGUGGGACGGGCGGCCCGCCCUAUGUCCCCAGGUAGGCCGCACAGAUGGAUGGCCACCCAGGCGCUUCGGCGCUGGACAGAACCCCGCCUACAGGCCGGCUCACCGU